UGGGGAAUUUUGGACAAUGGGGGAAACCCUGAUCCAGCCAUCCCGCGUGUGCGAUGAAGGCCUUCGGGUUGUAAAGCACUUUUGGCAGGAAAGAAACGUCGCGGGUUAAUACCCCGCGAAACUGACGGUACCUGCAGAAUAAGCACCGGCUAACUACGUGCCAGCAGCCGCGGUAAUACGUAGGGUGCAAGCGUUAAUCGGGAAUUACUGGGCGUAAAGCGUGCGCAGGCGGUUCGGAAAGAAAGAUGUGAAAUCCCAGAGCUUAACUUUGGGAACUGCAUUUUUUAACUACCGGGCCAGAUGUGUCAGAGGGAGGUGGAAUUCCGCGUGUAGCAGUAAAAUGCGUAGAUAUGCGGAGGAACACCGAUGGCGAAGGCAGCCUCCUGGGAUAACACUGACGCUCAUGCACGAAAGCGUGGGGAGCAAACAGGAUUAGAUACCCUGGUAGUCCGCGCCCUAAACGAUGUCAACUAGCUGUUGGGGGCCUUCGGGCCUUGGUAGCGCAGCUAACGCGUGAAGUUGACCGCCUGGGGAGUAC
Molecule: ribosomal RNA, 538 nt
Filed under: uncultured bacterium
Lineage: Bacteria
Description: partial 16S ribosomal RNA
Rfam family: Bacterial small subunit ribosomal RNA
Source: RNAcentral